Molecule: ribosomal RNA, 253 nt
Filed under: uncultured bacterium
Lineage: Bacteria
Description: partial 16S ribosomal RNA
Rfam family: Bacterial small subunit ribosomal RNA
Source: RNAcentral
UACGGGGGGGGCUAGCGUUGUUCGGAAUUACUGGGCGUAAAGGGCGCGUAGGCGGUCUGCUAAGUUGGAUGUGAAAACUCUGGGCUUAACCCAGAGCCUGCAUUCAAUACUGACAGGCUAGAGUUCUGGAGGGGAUAGCGGAAUUUCUGGUGUAGCGGUGAAAUGCGUAGAUAUCAGGAGGAACACCGGUGGCGAAGGCGGCUAUCUGGACAGAGUCUGACGCUGAGGCGCGAAAGCUAGGGGAGCAAACAGG